RNAcentral lists this ribosomal RNA (490 nucleotides) under uncultured bacterium. Its description in RNAcentral is "bacterial SSU rRNA". It matches the Rfam family "Bacterial small subunit ribosomal RNA", at positions 21 to 507 of the family's 1533-position model. The record is from RNAcentral.
GGCUCAGAUUGAACGCUGGCGGCAUGCCUUACACAUGCAAGUCGAACGGCAGCACGGGAGCAAUCCUGGUGGCGAGUGGCGAACGGGUGAGUAAAGUAUCGGAACGUGCCCAGUCGUGGGGAUAACGUAGCGAAAAUUACGCUAAUACCGCAUACGAUCUACGGAUGAAAGCGGGGGAUCGCAAGACCUCGCGCGAUUGGAGCGGCCGAUAUCAGAUUAGGUAGUUGGUGAGGUAAAGGCUCACCAAGCCGACGAUCUGUAGCUGGUCUGAGAGGACGACCAGCCACACUGGAACUGAGACACGGUCCAGACUCCUACGGGAGGCAGCAGUGGGGAAUUUUGGACAAUGGACGCAAGUCUGAUCCAGCCAUUCCGCGUGCAGGACGAAGGCCUUCGGGUUGUAAACUGCUUUUGUACAGAACGAAAAGGUCUCUAUUAAUACUAGGGGCUCAUGACGGUACUGUAAGAAUAAGCACCGGCUAACUACGUG